This 416-nucleotide ribosomal RNA is filed under the name uncultured bacterium. Its description in RNAcentral is "bacterial SSU rRNA". It matches the Rfam family "Bacterial small subunit ribosomal RNA", at positions 354 to 773 of the family's 1533-position model. The record is from RNAcentral.
GUGGGGAAUCUUGCACAAUGGGCGAAAGCCUGAUGCAGCGACGCCGCGUGGGGGAUGAAGCUUUUCGGAGUGUAAACCCCUUUCGACUGGGACGAAUGCCUCGCAAGAGGAGUGACGGUACCAGUAUAAGAAGCCCCGGCUAACUACGUGCCAGCAGCCGCGGUAAGACGUAGGGGGCCAGCGUUGUUCGGAAUUACUGGGUGUAAAGGGUUCGUAGGCGGUGUGGCAAGUCGGGAGUGAAAUCUCUGGGCUCAACCCAGAGACUGCUUCCGAAACUGCUGUGCUUGAGUGUGAGAGAGGCUCGUGGAAUUGCAGGUGUAGCGGUGAAAUGCGUAGAUAUCUGCAGGAACACCCGUGGCGAAAGCGGCGAGCUGGAUCACUACUGACGCUGAGGAACGAAAGCUAGGGGAGCAAAC